GGAGAAUAGAACUCACCUCUUGGCUUUAUGCAAGCAAAAAAAUUCACCUUCUUCUGAGCUUCUCGCACAUCCUUUUGUGUAUACAGUAGUGUUAUUCCUUAAUGGAUGCUAUCAUUAUGUUUCUCUUUUAAUGUUUUCCAGGUGGGAAAAGAAUGUGAACAAGGUUCUUCAGGAAGGUUUCUUCUCAGCUAGAAAAGGAGAACAGGCAUUUCUUAAGGAGGACUGCAGCCCAUGGGACUUGGACUUCAAACAACAAAUGUGCAGAGCUCACAUGAACUUGAAGCUGCCCUUUUAUUUGUGACAUCCAUAAACAUUUAUGAUGCUUGGUUUUCAUCCCAUCUGCCAAUGAAGUCACGAUACAGAAGCAGCGCUAUCACAGGUAUUUCUUUGCCAAGAGAUGAUACCCUCAAAAUCAGAUACUGUCGCAUCACUGCAAAGUUCAGUCCUUAAGAAAGAUGUUUAUCCCUACAAUUUGGACAGUUCCAACAUUUACUCAUACUUAAUUUUUAAAAGGAAAUAGGACAUUAGACUUUUCCAUAGACAUCCAUAAAUAUUUUACAUUGGAUCUACAUAAAAAUCUCCUUAUAAUUGAGACCAUUUARAUGAAAAUCUUUGAAAGAAAAGUAUUAUGAGCCAGAGUCUAAUCCGCAAAGAACUGCUGUAUCUGCAUUACGCUGAUAUGUAAUUAUGUGGGUUUACAUUACUUGUGAAAGUGAUCCACUAUAAACUGUUGAAUUAUCAUAGUGUCACAGGGAUACUUUAUAAACAAGAAAAUAAGGCCUGGUGACAAAAUCUCUUUUUGCUUAUGAUGUAAAUUUGGAGUAAAUCCACUGGCUUUAAACCUGUUUCAGAAGUAAAAUCUGAGCAGAGUUUGGCUGACAAGUUCUGCUGUCAUCUGUACAAGCUAUGUUGGACCUCACAAAGUGAACAACAACAAGAGGGAGAGAAGACCUCACCGUAGAAAUCAAGGCAACUUGCUUGGAGGAGAGAGAUUCAGUGGCAGCUUUUAAUAAGGAGUCCAAAGAUAUUUGGUKAUAGACAGAAGCAGAAACCAGCUUACAAACCAGAAGAAGAGUUUCUUGAGCAGGUCUCCUUGCUCCUUUUCAUAACUUUGUAAGGAUUUUUAAGCAUAAUCUUUUGCCUAUUUGAAAGAGGUUGUUGUGAUGUCUAUGUUACACACUCCUUUUCGUCUACUAGUAUGAAGAUGACUUUCAGUGAUGUAUGUGAGAUUUGUUUCCUUCAGUUUCAUGGUCAGGGCAUAAAUCACAUGAAAUAUGGAUUUGUCUCCUCUUCUUGUGUUUAGGUCAUUGCUUUGUGUCUAUAAGAUGCAGGCAACAAAGUCAAGAUCAGCUACAGGAAAGAGUUAAAAGGUUGAAAUAUUUAUUAUGCUUAGCUCCUUAAAUUAUAAAUCAGGCAUGUUUAUAGCUCAGUGCUUCUUUUUUGCUUGCUUUGUUUUUAAUUCUGGAGGCUUUUUCCACCCAAGUAAGUGCUUUCCUGAUUGACUUAAGAGGCAUCUUCUUUCCUGGGCAGGCUAACUGAUUUUUACUGCUGAGUUAUUCACAUAGAAAGUUAAUUAAGCCCUUGACCUGAUGUCCCAGUUGUUCCUUGGCACAGGAGGAGUUUGGGCCACUUAGUUUCCUAGGAAACAACAAGACAGCCACUUUUGCUGUUCCAGAGAAUUUAAAUUUCCUUGAUUUUGUACUGCAAAAUGUAGUGCUGUGGUAGCCAUAUUCCUUUCUGAUGCUUAUGCCUUUCACACAAGUGAGAAGAGAAAAUUUGUUUUGCCUCUUUCUGUGCUUCUCGUGAGAGACUGUAGUUUGUGCUCAGAGAAAAGACAGGCAUUUAGACUUCUAGGCUUUAUUUAACUGCCAAAGAAAUAUUGUGUGAUUUUCUUGGUUGUACUGAUAAUGUGAUUUGCUAUGCUUUUCCUUCCACUAUGCCUUUAUCCACUGAAACAGAUAUCCAGUAUUUUGCUGAGUGAGAUCUAGUGGAGUCAUUAGACAGUAGUGAGAUUUUUUGUUCAAAUCAUUUGAAAAGCUCACCUUUCAAAACCUGUGUAAUGUAAUAUUGUCUGAGGCUGAGUAAUUCUGUGAUGCAUUUCUGUGAACUGCUGAGAAGAAAUACUGAAGUAUCUCAUGUCUUAACUGAAUGCUGAAGUAACUCAGCAGUUUAUUAACAAAAGGAGAUUAGAACAAUAAUCUAUGAAAUCACAGUGAAUUUGCUGUGAACUUGCUGACUGACAACCAUAGCUGUAGCAGACAGCAACACUGAAGCCUUCAGUUUGUACUAGCUGAAUUUUAGCAUGACAAUGUAAAAAUAACAAACGGAAGUUGUUCUGGAUACCAAAUCGAUAGGGAUAACUUAUUCUUUUUUAAUCUGGUGAAAGUAAACUUAGAGCUAUUAAACUGGAUUCUCAUCUGGAUCUGUUCUUAAUGCCAGUCAACGGGUUAGAGAUCAUGGCUUGCCCCCAAAAAUUUGGAUUCAAAGUUUUCACAUCUUUUAAGACAGUCAUCUAGCUCAUUUCUUCUCCAAGCCUGUCUUCAAUUGGUCAUACCAUAUAACUUUAAUUACCUWAAUAUUCAUCAGCUGAAUCUUGUUGUGCAGCUGCAAAUCCCUUAAUUACAUAUGCACAUAGUCAUAGGGAAUAACUGUACUGCAUGGAGAAGCAACACAAUUGUCAGUAAAAACACAUUCUAAAACCAUUGCACUUUAAUGGCUUUGCAAUACCAGUAACAAAUCAGAAGAAACUACAUCUGUGAAUACUGCUCAUGUGGACUUCGAUCUCUUCCAACACACCCCAUUUCUUUGAUUAAAGAGAGUAAGAGAAGCCUUAAUGCCUCUUACCUUACAGGUAAGAGGUGAAAUCAUGGCUCUGAUGAAAUAAUUAGCCAAGCUAAAUUGACUUAAAUGGGCCAGGAUUUCACAUGUGAAUGUUAGAAAAGAACCAAUGCUCUUGAAGAACUGAUGCAUUUUCUUUAUAGGUAUGAGAGUAUAUAUUUCCUGUUGUGGUGCUAAACAAUUCAUUAUCUGGACAGCAUUCAGUUAAGUUUGCUUUGUGAGGGGGUACUUUCACUAUUUGUUAUGUUUAAUCCUGUUUAUAAUAGGCUCUUUGGCUUAGCAGAUUAGAAGCUGACAUGAAUAGCAAAUACUUGUAUAAAGUCUUUGAUCACUUAUAGGCAAUGUAUAUGUCAGUAAAGACCUAUGUCUCUCUAUGUAUACUAGAAAAAAGGAGUUGUUCAAUAAUCUCUUCCAAGGAAUGAUUUCAAGUGGUUCUACAUGGAUUGGUUUGUACAACUGAGUGGAGAUCUUGCCUCCAUUUCUUGAGAUUGCACCAACACCACUUGAACGGGAGGUGGUGGGAAGGGAAUUUUUAUGUUGCUAGUUUUCAUGAGAAGCAAUUUAUCUUGUGUGUAACUGUACUCAUGGACUUAGGCAAUUGGCACAUGUUUUUAUAAAUAAAUGAAUGAGAUAUAAAGAAAGUGCUGGUGUU
This is a long non-coding RNA of Dromaius novaehollandiae (emu), 3490 nucleotides long. The record is from Ensembl. NCBI's taxonomy places the organism in Eukaryota, Metazoa, Chordata, Aves, Casuariiformes, Dromaiidae.